This 469-nucleotide ribosomal RNA is filed under the name uncultured bacterium. RNAcentral's name for it is "partial 16S ribosomal RNA". It matches the Rfam family "Bacterial small subunit ribosomal RNA", at positions 27 to 507 of the family's 1533-position model. The record is from RNAcentral.
GGACGAACGCUGGCGGCGUGCUUAACACGUGCAAGUCGAACGGAAAGGCCCUGCUUUUGUGGGGUGCUCGAGUGGCGACCGGGUGAGUAACACGUGAGUAACCUGCCCUUGACUUUGGGAUAACUUCAGGAAACUGGGGCUAAUACCGGAUAGGAGCUCCUGCUGCAUGGUGGGGGUUGGAAAGUUUCGGCGGUUGGGGAUGGACUCGCGGCUUAUCAGCUUGUUGGUGGGGUAGUGGCUUACCAAGGCUUUGACGGGUAGCCGGCCUGAGAGGGUGACCGGCCACAUUGGGACUGAGAUACGGCCCAGACUCCUACGGGAGGCAGCAGUGGGGAAUAUUGCACAAUGGGCGGAAGCCUGAUGCAGCAACGCCGCGUGCGGGAUGACGGCCUUCGGGUUGUAAACCGCUUUCGCCUGUGACGAAGCGUGAGUGACGGUAAUGGGUAAAGAAGCACCGGCUAACUACGUG